Hibiscus syriacus is the source of this 400-nucleotide long non-coding RNA. RefSeq lists it as uncharacterized. The transcript has 3 exons. The record is from RefSeq and is a predicted model, not a curated record. Lineage: Eukaryota; Viridiplantae; Streptophyta; Magnoliopsida; Malvales; Malvaceae.
GCUAGAUGUAAACCCUGUAAGUGGCAGCUUGUGGAAUGCUUGGAGCCAGAGAGUUGAGGCUGUUAGGGAAUUAAGAUUUUCCUUGGAUGCGACUGUUGUUAAAAAUGAUUUUGGCCAGAUACCAGAGAUAAGUGGUGAAAAUGUUGCAGAACGUGACUUCUUACAGACAGAGAGGGAUCCUGGCGCAGCAGGUUAUACAAUUAAAGAAGCAGUAGCACUCACAAGAAGCACGAUUCCAGGACAAAGGGCCCUUGCACUACAUCUCCUUGCAUCCGUGCUUGAUAAGGUAUUACAUAAUAUUUCUCUCAAUCCUGUUGGCUCUACUCUGACCGAUAAUAACAUUGUUGAUGGUGCUGUUGAUUGGGAAGCUGUUUGGGCUUUUGCACUGAGCCCAGAACCU